Long non-coding RNA from Hypanus sabinus (Atlantic stingray), 422 nucleotides. RefSeq lists it as uncharacterized. The transcript has 3 exons. The record is from RefSeq and is a predicted model, not a curated record. Lineage: Eukaryota; Metazoa; Chordata; Chondrichthyes; Myliobatiformes; Dasyatidae.
CCGGUUUGAAAUUAGCGCGAGGGUGGGGGCUCACCACGAGGCACACCUGAGCAGAAGUUGUUUUGCAGGCAUGAGAAAUCACAGUGAGAGCAACGCUGCAAAGAAGCAGGAGGGAUGGAUAGCACAAUGUUGAUGAUAGGGCAAGGCCAGGACAAAUCAGCUGAAUGUCUUACUGGGCUAUUUCAAACUCCAGAUGAAGGGUUUUGACCCAUGAUGUCAACUGACUACUUCCCUCCAAAGAUGCUGCCUGAUGUACUGAGUUCCGUGUUGCUGAAAGGCAAACACAUCGUUUUGGAUCUGGUCACAAACUAAAAAUGGGUAUGGAUCAAGCAUACCUUUCCCUAAAGGUUUGUGUGAAUGCCAAGAAUUAAAUUAAUCACUGAACACAACAAUAACCAUGUGUGCGGUGAAAAUCUGUAAGA